AGAGUUUGAUCCUGGCUCAGGAUGAACGCUAGCUACAGGCUUAACACAUGCAAGUCGAGGGGCAGCAUGGUCUUAGCUUGCUAAGGCUGAUGGCGACCGGCGCACGGGUGAGUAACACGUAUCCAACCUGCCGUCUACUCUUGGCCAGCCUUCUGAAAGGAAGAUUAAUCCAGGAUGGGAUCAUGAGUUCACAUGUCCGCAUGAUUAAAGGUAUUUUCCGGUAGACGAUGGGGAUGCGUUCCAUUAGAUAGUAGGCGGGGUAACGGCCCACCUAGUCAACGAUGGAUAGGGGUUCUGAGAGGAAGGUCCCCCACAUUGGAACUGAGACACGGUCCAAACUCCUACGGGAGGCAGCAGUGAGGAAUAUUGGUCAAUGGGCGAUGGCCUGAACCAGCCAAGUAGCGUGAAGGAUGACUGCCCUAUGGGUUGUAAACUUCUUUUAUAAAGGAAUAAAGUCGGGUAUGCAUACCCGUUUGCAUGUACUUUAUGAAUAAGGAUCGGCUAACUCCGUGCCAGCAGCCGCGGUAAUACGGAGGAUCCGAGCGUUAUCCGGAUUUAUUGGGUUUAAAGGGAGCGUAGAUGGAUGUUUAAGUCAGUUGUGAAAGUUUGCGGCUCAACCGUAAAAUUGCAGUUGAUACUGGAUGUCUUGAGUGCAGUUGAGGCAGGCGGAAUUCGUGGUGUAGCGGUGAAAUGCUUAGAUAUCACGAAGAACUCCGAUUGCGAAGGCAGCCUGCUAAGCUGCAACUGACAUUGAGGCUCGAAAGUGUGGGUAUCAAACAGGAUUAGAUACCCUGGUAGUCCACACGGUAAA
RNAcentral lists this ribosomal RNA (811 nucleotides) under uncultured bacterium. RNAcentral describes it as "bacterial SSU rRNA". It matches the Rfam family "Bacterial small subunit ribosomal RNA", at positions 8 to 806 of the family's 1533-position model. The record is from RNAcentral.